Molecule: non-coding RNA, 560 nt
Organism: Hydra vulgaris (swiftwater hydra)
Lineage: Eukaryota; Metazoa; Cnidaria; Hydrozoa; Anthoathecata; Hydridae
Source: RefSeq, a predicted model, not a curated record
GGAAAGAAAAAACUGCAGUUUGGAGGAAAAACCUUUACAGAAUUGUCUGAUGAAGAUGAUCAAUUAAAUGAAAAGGUCGAUCAGGUUGAAGGAAACAGAACCAAACCUGUUUUAAGUAGAGUGUGCCAUGAAUGGUUCGAUCGUAUUGAUAACCAUUUGGUAUAUUCACACAAAAGCAUUCGUCUCAGUGACGAUUUUAAAAACAAUUAGGCCGCCAUGAUAACGGCGACUGAAGGCUUUACUAACUCCUAUUGUGAUGCUGAACGAAAAUUGUCGGUACAAACCAUCAAAAGCUUUUAAAAAGAUUCCUUUAAAAAGCCAGGUAUAAAUGCAAUAGUGUUAAAAAUUUUUGUAUGAUUUACUAUUAUUUAAGUUCAUACUAAUAAGUUAUUUUCAGUAAUAAGUAUGCAAGAAUAAGUUAGUUAAAAGUUAGUGGAUGAUAAGGUCUCUAAGAAAAAUUUGUUAAAACCAGAUAAUACGGUUGUUAAUUUAUUACUCGAUUUUGUGUUAAAAUGAUAAGGAAAGUAAAUUAUACUUUUUGACCUGGACUAAAUUCUAAA